UUGGUCUGUCUCAGCUGAGAGAAGGAGCAGCUAGCCACGGUCUCAGAGCUGUCCUCAGUGUGUUAACGUUACUGCUGUACCAUACCUACGUUACACUCAUACUGGGUUUCGGAGAAGGUACUGGAGAAGGAAA
Non-coding RNA from Salvelinus sp. IW2-2015, 133 nucleotides. The record is from RefSeq and is a predicted model, not a curated record. Lineage: Eukaryota; Metazoa; Chordata; Actinopteri; Salmoniformes; Salmonidae.